GCAUGAAUUUGUUUUAAAAUCAUGCAAAUAGCUCUUUGCUUUCCGUUUUCCAUCCUUUACAGAAGAUGUCAAGCUGACGUGAAAUUACUGAGGAAAGGACAAAAGUUCCGCCUAAGUUACAUGUUACGUAACAUUGACCUUUCACAUAGGCAAGAGGGCUCUCUUCCCACGUUACACAGGAAACAGAAAGGGCUGCUGUUGCUUUGCUGGAAGGUACGAGGAAACUUCAGGAGAACAGUUGUUUUGGCUUUCUGCCUUUGGAAAACAUCAUUAAUAAAAAAAAAAACUACCUGAAGAUGAAGAUUAGGAAUAAAUAUGCAGACUUCCACUUCCA
Molecule: long non-coding RNA, 334 nt
Filed under: Felis catus (domestic cat)
Lineage: Eukaryota; Metazoa; Chordata; Mammalia; Carnivora; Felidae
Description: lncRNA (ENSFCAG00000042240.2)
Source: RNAcentral